RNAcentral lists this ribosomal RNA (255 nucleotides) under uncultured bacterium. Its description in RNAcentral is "partial 16S ribosomal RNA". It matches the Rfam family "Bacterial small subunit ribosomal RNA", at positions 524 to 776 of the family's 1533-position model. The record is from RNAcentral.
UACGGGGGGGGCAAGCGUUGUUCGGAAUUACUGGGCGUUAAAGGGCGUCGUAGGCGGCCAACUAAGUCCGACGUGAAAUCCCCAGGCUUAACCUGGGAACUGCGUCGGAUACUGGAUGGCUUGAAUCCGGGAGAGGGAUGCGGAAUUCCAGGUGUAGCGGUGAAAUGCGCAGAUAUCAGGAAGAACACCUAUGGCGAAGGCAGCUCUCUGGGACGGUACUGACGCUGAGACGCGAAAGCGUGGGGAGCGAACAGG